GUGGAUGGGCAGCAGGCAGGGUCAAGCUGGUCCAUGGCACGUGAGAGGCAGGAGGGACCUCAUGGGAGGGAGCAGGGCAUCUGGACAGCAGGGCGGGGGGCAGUGAGAGGUUGCAGGGCAUCCCACAGCAGCAGUGGCCCAAAGGGAAGGAGGGAGACCCUCGACCUCGCCUGAAGCCACCUGCAGUCAGUACCAGACUUUCCCUCCAGCCGGGAGUGUCCAGGGAGGGCCCUGGCUCCCAGCCAGUCCUGGACAUGGGCCCCUCCUGGGCUCAGGGAACCUGUGGUCCUCUUCAGCAUCUGCCUCUUCCCUCCCUCCUCUGUCCCACGCUGGUCCUGAAGCUCAGGGUUCUGUGUGGACCAGCUCAGGGCGGCCACUCCAGUAGACACUGGCCUGGCUUCUGAGGUCACAGCCCUACCCCUCCCCAAUAUCUUCACCCCCGCCCAGGGUCAGGAAGUCCGAGUCCCCUUUCCCAGCAGCUGCCCUCUCCUGCAGUCAGGGGCAGGGGCUGGAGGUGUCAGGGCUCUGUGAUGGCAGGAAUGACGCCCCCCACCUAGGAAGGAGGGGAGAGGCGUGUGUAGGCAGGGGGCUGAGCUCCGGGCAGCAGCUUCCCUGGCUCUGCCUGCCGGGCUGCCACGGGCUGGUGCACUCAGGCUGGGCAUUGGCUGGAGACAGUCGCAGCCAGUUGCUUGGUGGCCAAGUGGCUGGAGCAGGUGUCUCUGCCCUUGUCCUCAGCCUCCUCUGCACCAUGAGCAGCACAGGCCCCUCAGGGUCUCCCCACCACGGGACACUUGCUGGAUGAGAUUGUCAUCUUUUGACCCUGGUUUGGGGGUACUGAGGCAUCCAGGAGCCCCCACAGGGAGGCCUGAGCCAGAAGAGGCUGAGGAGUGGGAACCCAGGUCACGGGGCUCGGUCCCCAGGUCGGCCAGGCCAGGCCGGAGGCAAGAGGAAGGAGGCCAGCAAGGACGGAGUGGCCGCGGGGGUUUCCCAGCCACACACCCGUUAGCCGCCCAGUGGCACCCGGAAACGUGGGCUGGCCUUCUCUUAAGCCGAGAUCCUGACCUUUCCCACCCGUCCACCCCCUACCAUGGGACAGCUGGAAGACUGAGAGCCCCACGUCACCCAGGGCACGGCCUACAGGAAGGGCUGCCUCCUGAAGCCCCUCUGGCCCAGGAGCCUGGCUGGCUUCGGGAGGGGCCUGGGCACAGGGACACUUGGCCUGCACGAGGCCCGGUUCUUGCCGCUGUGCUGACCCAGGGAGCCCUACCACACUCGGCUCUACCCUAGCCCUGUUCACCCUGCGUCCAGGGGAGGCACUGCCCCUUGGCCACCAGGAGUCCUGCUGGCUGGCAGGCCCCCUCGCCAGCCCCAGUAGGGCAGGGCUUGCCUGGAGUGCAGCGCCCCAGACGGCCACCCGCUGUCUGAUCCUUUCCGAGCCCCGUCUGCCCUCCACUGCCAGCAGACCUCGAGGUCACGGCUCCUCCUCCAAGACCUUCUCGCGGUGCUUUCUCAGGGUCCCCCUGAACCGGUCACCCAGCAAACCCCAGCCGCCCCUGUCUAAGACCCAGGCUUCACCCGGGAGGAGGGUUCCCUCUGGCCUGAGGCCCCAGCCAGCAUCCCAGGAUGUCCAGAGGCUGCAGGCCUGGGGAUGGCCAGGCCCUGACCUUCAAGAGGGCUCUGCCAUCUCGGACCUGAGGUCCGCCCUGUAAGCGGCCCAUGGGGGUGAGCGGCUCUGGGCCCCGCGUGGCCAGGCCUAAAGAACAGAGGCUCUUUCCACUCUCUCCAGGGCCACGUGCUGAGCCCCGUCCUCCUCUGGCUCCAGGGGGCUCAGGCUCCCAGAGGCCAGCCCAGCUGCAGCGGGGCCCCUGUGCAGUGCGUGGGUGUCGGAACAUUCCGCCCACAGAGCCAGGUGCCACCACCCCGGGGCACUGGGAAGUGAAAUCGCUGGGUCUGUGCUGGGCGUGGUGGGUCAGGAGUGGUGGGUCCACCAGGCGGACUUUCAAGGUGGAGUGGGGGCUGGUCCCCUCUGAGUCUGCCCAGCAGAAGAGAAAACCUUUGCCUCAAACAGACUGGACACUCGGGAGUGUGGGAAAGACCCCACCCUGCCCUCUCGCCGACACACGCUUCUGCCCAACGGCCCACGGGGCGGAAGUGAUCUGCGGCCAGAGGGGUGAGCAUCUCAGGCGCGGGUUUGCUGGUCAUGGCCCCCCCAAGGCCUGCAUGGGAGGACCACCCUGCACAGGGCUGGUGGCGAGAGCCCCUGGUCCCAGCCUCCGACAGACACCACUGCCAGCCCCCUACCCGUGUUGCAGGUGAGGAGACUAAGGCUUGGAGGCAGGACCGAGGCAGGCAGCUACAGCUCUGUGGAGAGAACACGUGGCCCCUGGUUUAGAGCAUCACAUGUUUGAGACGGCUACAGCCGAGCCCAUCUAGGCUCAAUCAGCAGAGUGCAGCGGCCACACCUGUGAUCCCAGCUACUGGGGAGGCUGAGGCAGGAGGGUGGAGAGUUCCAGGCCAGCCUCAGCCACUUAGCUGGACCCCGUCUAGAAAUAGAAAAUAAAAAGGUCUGAGGUGUGGCUCGGGGCAGAGCACUUGUCCAGCAUGAGCGAGACCUGAGGUCAGGAGCACUUGGGAAGGUCUGGAGCGCCAUACAGCCCCCCACCUGGUGGCCCCAGCCCCAGCCCCUUCCCGGGCAGCCUCUGCUCACCACCCAGGGCAGGGGGAACGAAGCCACGGACCCAGGGUGCUGGAGGCCAGGACAGAGCUGACAGGCUAUGCCCCGCCAGGCAGUGCCCUGGGAUUGCGGCUGGGCACGGCGUCAUCGGUGGAACAGGCAGCAGGUGGGGAACCCCACUGACCUUGUGCAAGGUCACUCUGCUAAGAAAUAGUGAAGAUGGAAUUGCUGGGUGGGCCAUGUUCAGGGGCCAGUGCUGUUGGACCCCGAAGGCCUGCCCCCGGCAUCUGCGGUCUCCUCACUCCCACUGGGCCCCCGCUCUGGGCUUGUGCGGAGCGGAUGGAGCACCAGGCAGCCCCAGGCCAAGCUGGAAGGGUCUGAUAUGUGGCCCGGUCCACAUUUUCCCAGCAUGGGUUCCUAUAGACUGGGGUUCUGGGCACCCCCAGAGCUGCCUUGGGGGCUGCGAGCAAAGCCUCCGUCCCAGCCCGUGCCCCAGGAGCCCCUGCUGCUCCGUUUACGUAUUCCUGGCUGAUGCUGUCUGAAAUAAAUGAAUAUUGGGCUCCCUUGCAAACAAUUGGGAGGGGGUAAAGAGGUGUGUGUCAGACAAGGUGAACUGGGUUUCAUGCACCCCGCCUUCCGGGGGACUGGGGCCCCGGGGCGGCCGUGAGCCCCUGGAGCUGUCCCGCAAUCCAGCUCUCCCUGGUCCUGGCCUCUGUCUGGACAAGCUGUGCGCUGGCCUCCUGAGCAGGGCAGGCCGUCAGCCUGUGGUCCUGGGACGUCCUCCAGCCGGCAGCCCCCUCUCCCCUCCCAGGGAGGCCCCUUGCCCCACGCCCCACGUCAGCAUCUGCAGCUCUGACAGCCGACGGCAGCCCACCGACCUGAGCCCCUGGUGCAGGGACCAUGUCAUGUUCUCUUGGCCUGGGGUCACCUGGAUGUGGGCAGGAAAGGAUCUUGGACCCUCUUGAGUGCCAGGGCAGCCCUGCUCACAUCUUGCUGCUGUCCCCAGAUCUGCCACUCACAGACCAGCAGUGUGGAGGAGUGGCUGGGUUGAACCAGAGGAAAGCGGUGGUGGGGGGUGAGCAGAGACAUCGAACCCUGGCCCCGACUCAAACCUCAACAUACGAUCACGUGCUGGCCGGGUGGCACGCCUCUCAGGCCAGCUGAGAUGGGGUCUGCAGCUCAGGGGCCUCCGCACGGGGCCACUAGGCACCCUUGGGGCUCCGCCCUCCAUACAUGGUUCCUGGCCACCACCAUACCAACACCACUGCAGCGCAACCUCGGCCCCUGCCUCUGCUCUGGACAGACAUGCAGGAGCAGGGCUUGCUGUGUGUCCUGGGGAGCUGCGGCCUCUCUCUGGACCUUGGUGUGCCCAUCUAAGAGGCGGGAGUAAUGCACUCAGAGAGGAUGGGUGAGAAUGGCUCAGGAGGGGAGGGGCUGGUUCAGUGGAGACCUUUCCCAGCUCCUCUGACAGUCUCCCACAAGCCUUCCAGUGAGGAGCCCUGGGGCUGACCAGGCCAGGCGACAGCACCCUGCAGCCCUCCCGUCCUGGAACCAUGGCUGGGUGCCAUGUUGGAUCUGCACACAAGCACAUGUGUUCUUCCCUGAGGCCACAAGGCUGGCCAUGAUGCUGCCCACCCUGUUGGCAGUCUCCGUCUCUGGCCAAGACGGCUGGCAGACAUGUGGUAGGUAGCCUGGGCAGUGAGAGAUGGCCAGCCCUGCCCAUGGCCGCGACUCUUACCUGCACACUGCGUUGCCCAGAGCAGCUGGGCCUCGGCCAGGCAGUGCUGCUGUCAUCCUCUGCUCAGCAACUUCUAAGGACACAGCCCUGGGGCUGGAGGCUGGGCCUCUGCAGAUCCUGCCCUCUCUCCUCCUUAGGAACUGCCCGGGUCCCUUCCUACCUGGGAAUCACCAGCCACUCUCACAGCCCACGGUGCUGGCCAACCAGUGAUUGCCGAAUGCCAGGUGCCAUCAGAGAACCCAGAGCGAGGUCAGCAGCCCCAUCUCGACUCUGAGCUCCUCAUGUUCUCAGUCCCAGCUGCUGCAUUUGAGAACCUCUGGGAGCUUGGAGAAGUCCUGGUGCCCAAGUGCCGACCAGACCUUCCCCAUCAGCAUCUCUCUUGACAAGCCCCAGGACUCAGAUGGGCACACAGGACUGAGAGUUGCGGACAGGGAGGGAUGGGUCUCAAACAGAGAGAGGAAAAAGUUAUGGAGUCCUGGUCCAAAUCAAUGCCAGGGGGAACUUCCCACUCCCUGUCUAUAGAGUAAGUAUAGAAAUGUCUCCAGCUGGGGCUGGGGAUGUGGCCCAAGUGGUAGCGCGCUCACCUGGCAUAUGCGUGAGGCACUGGGUUUGAUUCUCAGCACCACAUAAAAACAACAUAAAGAUAUUGUGUCCACCUAAAACUAAAAAAAUAAAAAAGUAAUAUCUCCAACUUCCUAGUUCCUUUAAAAGAUCAAAUGAGGCAACACUGCAAAUCCUGGCACAGAGAAGGUGCUCACCCAAUAUGCACUGUUGGGUCUCGGGCACAGGUUAGCCACUUUAAACCCCACAGGCACCUGGGAAAGGAGGCAUUGUGAUCUCCACUUACAGGAGAGGAAACAGGUGCUGAGAGGUUCAGCAUCCUAAGACUAUGCAGCCUGUAGAGAUGGAGCUGCAAGUCCCCCAAGGAUGGUGAUGGCAGUGGUGAUGGUGAUGGUGAUGAUGGGUGGUGGUGGUGAUGGUGGUGGUGAUGGUGAUGAUGGGUGGUGGUGGUGAUGGUGGUGGUGAUGGUGAUGUUGGUGGUGAUGAUGGGUGGUGGUGGUGAUGGUGAUAGUGAUGAUGGUGGUGAUGGUGAUGGUGGUUAUAGUGAUGGUGGUGGUAAUGAUGGUGGCGGUGGUGAUGGUGGUGAGGGUGAUGGUGGUGGUGGUGAUGGUGGUGAAGAUGAUAGUGGUGGUGAUGGUGAUGGUAAUGAUGGUUGUAAUGGUGGUGGUGAUAAUGGUGAUACCUAACAGCACUUACUUUACCCCAGAACUUGUUCUUUGUCAGUUUAUGCAUAUCAGACCAAUAAAUUAUCACAAGCCAAUUAUCAUCUCCAUUUUGGAGAUGAGGAUAGUAACACACAGAGAGGGAGACAGCAGAGUAACUUGUUCAAGACUAGACAGGGACUCAGCCACAAAGGUUGGGUUGAGCCUGGGUCCAUGGCUGCUGUACCGUCCAGCCAUGCUUCAUCUCAUGAAGGCGCCUUGUGAAGUGGAGCACGGGGCUGAGUCCAGAGGAGCGUGAGGAUGCCCUGGGAUCUGGGGUAACAGGAGUGUGAUGACUGAAUGUCUGUGGCCCUCAGCAUUCCUGGGUUGAAACCUAUCCCCCAGUGUGCUAGAAUUUGGAGCUAGGCCUUCACCCAGUCGAAAUCGUGGGAGUGCAGACCACACAGAUGGGCUUGGUACCCUCACAAAAGGAUUCCAGAGCGUUGCUUGUCCUCUGUCCACCACGUGAGGACCAGGCAAGAAGGCAGCUGCCUGCACCUCAGCAGAGAGCCCUGCCUGCACCCCAGCCACACGGCACCUUCAUCUCCGACUUCCAGGCUCCAGAACCGUGAGAAAUAAACUGUUGUUGCUUGUAAGCUGCCUGG
Molecule: long non-coding RNA, 6279 nt
Filed under: Marmota monax (woodchuck)
Lineage: Eukaryota; Metazoa; Chordata; Mammalia; Rodentia; Sciuridae
Source: RNAcentral